This is a long non-coding RNA of Anolis carolinensis (green anole), 3225 nucleotides long. RefSeq lists it as uncharacterized. Lineage: Eukaryota; Metazoa; Chordata; Lepidosauria; Squamata; Anolidae. The record is from RefSeq and is a predicted model, not a curated record. The transcript is spliced from 3 exons.
UUUGAACCUGGGACCUUUUGGUCUGCAAGUUCAGCAGCUCAGUGCUUUAACACACUUCGCCACUGGGGCUCCUUACAAUAUAAAUAGUUUACUUGACAGAGCUUUAAAGGGCCUUGCUUUUGUCAGCUGCCACUAUUUUCCAUGGUGCUGGGAUCCCAGGACUAUCAUGUAGUAACUAUCAGUAACUUUUCUACAUGCUGACUUCUAGUGGCUUUCAUUUAUAAUUGUGAAAAUUGACUGUUGUUUCAUAAGGUCAUUUUGUAUAGGUUGCACAGUCUGUCCUGGGAAAGAGAUCACAUUGGCCUUCUCAGAGAGAUUAGUUUGAAGGAAGAAAAUUGAAGCUGAGGCUAAUGUUCAUUUGCAUUAUUUUUACCAUCAGUGAAAAGAGAACAAAAAAUGACAGAAAAUUAUUAGGGCUAAAAUAUUCCUAUGAUAAUCAAAUAUCCUUUUGAAAUUAGUUUCUUUUCUUAUGAGUGGGAUAAAUGCAUUAGCAUAGCAAUGUGAUGUGAUGUGUCAAACCUGAGAAAUUUGCUAUCUGUAUUUGCAAAUGUUCUGUCAUCUUCUGGAUAGAGGAAUCAUUAAAGUGUGUGAUUUCUUGGAGUAGAAUCAAGACAAGUUGCUUGGCAUGUUAUGUUGAUUCACUGCAUUAACAAAAAGUGCUCCCAUUACUUAUUGUUUUAAUAAAAACUUUAUCUUUCAUAAAGAUUUAUCUGUUGUCUUAGGAUAACAGAGAAUGCCAGAGAUUGGGAUCAAGAUCUUUUUGCAACAUAUGAAUAUGCCUAGCAGCUACCCCUGAAUAUGUUUCAUGGAUCCGUAUGUAUUUGUAGCAAGUCCCUGUGCAACAUUUUAACCACAAGACCAACUCUUUAUACUUUCAGAGAGAGGAAAAGAGUAAGAUUGAGCGGAAUGAAAAUGAAAGAGAGUGACAGAGAGACAGAGGGUACAGGACUAGAAGCCACAUCAGUAUCAAAACAAAUCAAUGAACUGCAAUGAGAAGCAAGUAGAACUACUUCAAAUUACCUGCUGACCUAUGGCAACCCCAUGAUUUUCAUAGGAUUUUCUUAAGCAAGGGUUAUUCAGAGGUGGUUUUGUGAAUUCUUGUCUCUGAAAUGUAGCCUAUUAUACCUGAUAUUCAUUGGCAGUCUUCCAUCCAUGUACUAACCAGGACUGACCCUAUUUAGCUUCCAAUAUCAAAUAGGCUCUGGUGCCUUUAGGAUAUUUAGACCCACCAAAUGGUGCCAGAGCCCUACAUUUGUGAACACAGCUAUUAAAGUUCAAGCUAUCUCAUCAAGGCAUCAUUAAUAUAUCAAGCAAAUAGAGACAAAUGCCAUGCCCUCUUCAAUCUAUGCAAAACUGCUUAGGACACAAAUACCAAAACUAUUACACUACGUUAGAAGACAAAAAAGCCAUGUGUAGACAUGGUAAAAUAUGAAGAUACAUUAAAAGGUAACAGGAUUGCAGGAAAUACAAAGCAUGCAUUUUUCCAAGCUUAAUAUGUACCAAAUCCCCUGAUGCAAAUCAUGGAAUUAGAGGGUUACAGUGCACUGGUCACAUUGACUGAUGAUAAUAUUUUUUUAAAAAAAUAUUAAGUGACAAUGUACAUGAAUAAAUUAUCAGCUACAUAACAGACUUGAUGGUCCAAUUAUUCGCAACUCUUUUGUAGAAGGGAACUCACUCUAUCCUUGGCGUAGCCUUGGGACAUUGAGUUCCUCCUUCCAUCCCUUGAUCUUUGUUGAUCUGUGUCCUGGAAACAAUAGCUGUGUUUACUAGCGGUAGGCAUCUUAGCUAAAUUUUGAGAUAAUUCAAAUAGACAAUCCAGUAGAUAUACAUUUCAAUUCAGAGUGAGAUGAAUUAAUUUAAACUGAUCUGGGGAAUAGGUUGGAAGAAGUCCUUGGCAAUAGUGGGAGUUUCGAGAAAAUGUUUCAGGAUGAAAAUAUGAUAUGGAUUUCUAAAAUAAAGUCAGUACACACAGGAACAAAAAAGGGGACUUCCAGGUACUUCUUACUCAUAUGGAAAGACUUUCAGAAAAACGUAAGCUCUUGCUGAAAAAAGCAGAAAAUAUUACAUAGAUGGGGAGAAAAACUACAAGAUGUUUACAUCUCAUUUAUCAGAAUAAAGGAAGCAAAGAUUUGUGGGGAAGAGGUUUUAUUUUGUGUGGGAUAGGGGGUUUGGGUGUGUGUGUGGUCUGUCGUGUGUAAUAUGUCUUGUGUUGUUGUUUGAAUGUUAGGGUGAACUCUUAUAUUUAAUUUUUUUAAUUAAAAAUGAGUAGAAAGCUUAGACUGAAAAUAGUGGAUAUAUGUCUAUAUGUCUUAAGUUACUGAUAAUAAUAUCUACUCAAUGUCAGAAUUAACUGUUUGAUUGACUAUUGUAGAUAUGCAUGUAUACAUCAAAAUUAUUGUUAUCUGACUAUAUCUGCUUUGAUUUGUUGUUCUGUUAUGUACCAUAACUUUAAUAAACUGUUUACCCCAAAAAAAGAAAAAAGAAAAAUAUAGUACUCACUUGAUAGCUGUCUUGAUCUUAACACAUGAUGUGUCACCUCUUUAGGAGUGAAGGUGCUUCUUUUUGGAUUUAAUGUGAUAUAGCAAAACUCACUUUGCUCUGUAGUUUCUGGGGAAAUCUGGUCUGUUGCUUUUUUGUAUCUGUGUACAAUUUAGGUUGGGGUAGUUUUGGUGACAAGGGGCAGGACAGGUUGCUGGGUGGAAAAUGUCACCCUUUUCUUUUUUAUAUGUCCACCGUGACUUAAUGGAGGGGUAUGCUUUUUUAUAUUAAAGAUCUCCCUUUCUUUGCACUGGGAAGUGUUGGGGUGGGGGAGAGGGGCAAUGGCAAAUUACUCUAAGUAGAAUCAGUGACCCAAGCAGAAAGGAAAUGUCAGGGACUCCAUCCCUACCACUACUGCUUCCCAGCACAAAAAUAAAAUAUUUUUAGAUGGGAAAUCUGUGGAGGUGGGGAGGACGGUCCCUGCCAGACAGCUCAUUGGCAGAGCCCUACUGGGAGGUCAUUUGCUCAGAACGAGGAGCCCAGGGUCAAUCAUUAUAGCUCCUUGCUAUUGGCUGCAUGGCUGGGUACCUCAUCCUGAGAUUUUCCAGUGAUGCUCUGUUGGGAAGCUAUUUGGCCUGCAAGGCAGAAACAGGGAAAUUACUUUGGAGGAGAAGGAGAAAUAAAUUUUCUGAUUCAAAUUUGAAGUUUGGGCAGCAAUAUAUUUUCGUUUUUUUGGUUUUUUUUUUU